GGCCAAUCAACAUCUGGCGAUAACUCCUGUGAUCCACGGGACGUUAUCGCACAAAGCCCGUUUGCCAAGUCGUGAAGAAAGAUGGAUAGUUUUCAUCGUCCCGCUCCAUAAAUUCUCGUGAGAAAAUCCUGUGCGGCGAUAAAGGAAGAGAUAAGGAGAUACCAUAGGAAACUGCCAUUUUCCUUUGAUCCGAAAAGAAAUUGGAGAAACAUUUGUUUUUACAUGUUUUAUAACAGAGAUUUGGCUACCUGGACUUGUGCAAUGAAUGCAAUCUUGACCUUACGUCGGAUUACGGCCCGAAAACUCGGACGAUAAAGGGGCGCGUCGCUAGAAGCCCGGGUAACCUCGAUUUACAAAGUACGUAGCGGGGUGUGGAAGCGAAGAUAGAUUUUGGCUGGAUGCCAACAACGGCACUGCGGAUAUCGAUGGUGACACUGCGCGUUGGUGGGGCUUCGUUCGUUCGUUCGAUUGCACCACUGGAAUCUACCAGUUCGGGAUAACUUGCAUCUCCUCCUUCCUCAAGAGAUCUCCGUAUGACCGAGUAACGAAAUAUGCACGAGAUAGAAGAAUAGGUAGAACAAGACUGGCUGGUCCCGCGGGAAGACGAACUACGCUGUCAAACCUCCGAUCAAUUUUUCACUCACGUAAUUCCUUCGCUAUACAAUUUUCCGAUAUGUGUACUACUUGCUGUGUUGAACCUGCCAGCGUCGCAGGAGACCAGAUCGGGGUUUUAAAAUUCUCUUCCGUUCAAACGCAUCCUUGCUCUUCCUUCUCGUUCUAUUGUGCAAUAAUUGAAGAGUGGACAUGACACGAUAUAUUAAUAAACAAAAAGAUCGCCGAUUGAAAUAAGAAAUAAAUUUCAAUAACAUAUUGUAAAAUAGUCAAUCACGGAACACCUUCCUUUCUAAGAUUGUAAUUCUGAGAACAUAAAGGAUAGAGAAGAAUAUCUCUAAAUUAUUAUAGCUAUUAUAGGCAAUUCACCAGCACGUAGAAAAUUCGAUUUAAAUUAAAAAUAUACUUUCUUCUUCGUAAUAAAUUCUCUAAUUUUCUUCAUAA
This 1056-nucleotide unclassified non-coding RNA is filed under the name Acromyrmex echinatior (Panamanian leafcutter ant). RNAcentral's name for it is "uncharacterized LOC105148200, transcript variant X1". Lineage: Eukaryota; Metazoa; Arthropoda; Insecta; Hymenoptera; Formicidae. The record is from RNAcentral.